CAUUAAUGAGUUUUGAUUGGGAGUUGAUGCUGGCAGUCAUUUCUUUUGGCUGCAUGUGCUUGCCCCUAAUAAUCUUUAUCCAAACACCUGUGCAUGAUUUCGAGGGUUUCCAAGUUGACUUUGUUGUCUUCCCGGAUUCCCUUGUUUUUCCCACUUUUAUACACUGCUUGCAAUGUCGAAUGUGCUAUGUGCCGUAAGGCCUUUAACGCAAUAUACAACUUUUAACAACGGAUCUCUUGGCUCUCGCAUCGAUGAAGAACGCAGCGAAAUGCGAUAAGUAAUGUGAAUUGCAGAAUUCAGUGAAUCAUCGAAUCUUUGAACGCACCUUGCGCUCCCUGGUAUUCCGGGGAGCACGCCUGCUCGAGUGUCGUGAAAUUUCUCAAGCUUAAGAUGUUUUUCUUAGUCUUGGUGUUGGGCUCUGCCGUGUCUCUUAUUGGGAUGGCUGGCCUUAAAAGCAUUAGCUGGCCUUUAUGUGGGGCAAUUGGUUCUACUCGGCGUGAUUAAUGAUUUUGACCGCUGAGGACAUCUUUAUGGAUGGCCAGUUCUCACUUAGGUUGCUUCUAAUCUUGGUUGUACGGAUUGUUGGUCCGUGUGCCCCAUUUUUCAGCUUUGACCUCGAAUCAGGUGGGACUACCCGCUGAACUUAAGCAUAUCAAUAAGCGGAGGAAAAGAAACUAACAAGGAUUCCCCUAGUAACGGCGAGUGAAGCGGGAAAAGCUCAAAUUUAAAAUCUGGCAAUCUUUGGU
This 746-nucleotide ribosomal RNA is filed under the name Clavulina cinereoglebosa. Its description in RNAcentral is "eukaryotic LSU rRNA". The stretch from base 217 to 370 matches the Rfam family "5.8S ribosomal RNA". The record is from RNAcentral. Lineage: Eukaryota; Fungi; Basidiomycota; Agaricomycetes; Cantharellales; Hydnaceae.